This 115-nucleotide small nucleolar RNA is filed under the name Catagonus wagneri (Chacoan peccary). Its description in RNAcentral is "Small nucleolar RNA SNORA81 (ENSCWAG00000014484.1)". It matches the Rfam family "Small nucleolar RNA SNORA81". The record is from Rfam by way of RNAcentral. Lineage: Eukaryota; Metazoa; Chordata; Mammalia; Artiodactyla; Tayassuidae.
ACUCUCUUGUAUAAGCACCAUGCUAAGAUUGCAGAAACACAUCUGUAAAGACUAGGGUGGACCACCUCAUUCUUAAUGUCCAGUGUCCUUUGUCUUAAGAUUUGGUGUGAUAUGU